AGGGACUGGAGCGCGAUGGACCCUUCGCGAGUUGAUCGGAACGGGACGUCCAGAGCACUGCGGAACUGUCGAGGCUUUACCUCUAACUUUCAUGUUAAUUUACCAAAAUAUGAAUACAAUCAAGAGUUGUUAAUGUCAACAAACAUCAUACUGACGUUUUAUAUUGGGUAAAAAGGAUACAAUUCCAGUGUGCCUUGUUUGUGAUUGUUUUCAGUGCAGGGUGCAGCCACCGUGGUGAUUCUACUAUAAAUCAAUUGACACAUGAUGAGAUGAGAGGUCCGCACACAACUGUGAAUGGAGCGUUAACGGGAGAAGUCGGCACGCGCUUCUUGUUCACACACACCCAACGCUUGGACAAAGGCUAUGGGUACUCUGAGGGACCUGCAGUUUGCGCUGCAGCUGAAGAUCGAGGAGCUCCGUCAGAGAGACACUCUGAUAGAUGAGCUGGAGUUGGAGCUGGACACUAAAGAUGACCUCAUCAGACAGCUGCAGACUGAAUUGGACCGACACCGCAAAGCUCCACAACACCCAGGGACCACUGGGAGCACUGAGAACACAGGUAAGAGGUACCCAUACCAAACUAGUCAUGAAGUACAUUUGGAAAGUAUUCAGACCCCUUGACUUUUUCCACAUUUUGUUACUUAAAUUGUUUUCCCCCUCAUCAA
Salmo salar (Atlantic salmon) is the source of this 665-nucleotide non-coding RNA. The record is from RefSeq and is a predicted model, not a curated record. Lineage: Eukaryota; Metazoa; Chordata; Actinopteri; Salmoniformes; Salmonidae.